AAACAAUCUAGUUUUGCCUAUAAGCAAUGUAAUUAGCCAAAGCAAUCAAAGGAGCAGAUUUAUUCAAAUCAAACCCAGAAAGUUGUUCUUGUGCAUCACGGUUCAAUUUCUCAGCAAACUCUUUCGAUUUCUCAAUCCCUAAAAGCUUAGGAUAAGUAACCUUAUCAGCUACCAAAUCUUUCCCAGCAGUUUUCCCUAACUCUUGUGAAGAUUUCGUCACAUCAAGAAUAUCAUCAACAACCUGAAACAAUAAACCAAUAUAUGUCGCGAAUUUUCGCAGUUUUUCAACAUCUUCAUCACUUCCACCACCUAAUAUUGCACCAAGAACAACAGCACCUUCUAACAAAGCUGCAGUUUUAUGCAAAUGAAUGAAUUCAAGCCGUUCGAGUCCGACAUCGGAUAAACCUUCUGAGUUUAUAUCAACAACUUGUCCCGCAACGAGUCCUUCCGAGCCUAUUGAUUUCGCUAAUUCACCGAUUGCACGGACAAUUCGCGCCGGAGAAACAUCAACGGUGGAGACGGCAAUAUGUUCGAAAGCAAAAGCGAGAAGAGCAUCUCCGGCGAGAACAGCAACGUCUUCUCCGAAGACUUUGUGGUUUGUAGGUUUACCUCGCCGGAGAUCAUCGUUAUCCAUACAAGGAAGGUCAUCGUGGAUGAGAGACAUCGUGUGGAUCAUUUCAACGGCGCAGGCGGCUGGCAUCGCCAUCGGUUCGGUUCCUCCGACGAGUUCACAGGCGGCUAAACAGAGAACCGGCCGAACGCGUUUUCCGCCGGCGAGAAGAGAGUAACGCAUGGCUUCAUGAACUUUUAACGGUUCGCGUAAUGAAACGGCGUCGUCUAAGGCUUUGUUAACCCUAGUUGCUUUUUCUAUCAUGUAGGAUUUGAAAUUGAAGAUUGGGUUUUGCUCUUCUGCUUCUAUUGGUUCUUGUUUUGUAAGUAAUGAAGAAACAGAGAAAGAAAAUGAAGAAGAAUUGGGUUUUGAUGGUUUAAUGGGUGAAACUGAAAUGGGUAUUUUGGUAAAAUAGAAAGAUGGGAUUCUGGAUCUGGAUCUAGUUGUAGCAGUAGUAGUAACUUGAUUGCACAUGAAAUUGGAGUGUGUCCAUGUGUUAAGAUUCACAGCACUCAUGUUUGUGUUUGGGUUAUGAUAAUGUUUAUGUUUCUUUAAGGAGUUGUUCUUUCCUUAGGUUUAUUGCUAUCUUAUAUUCUCCCUUGUACUCUCUUUAUAUAUGGUGGGUGUAUUGAGAAUUAAGCUUGAGUUGAACUUGAAAGGUUUGAAUUUAGAACUUCAUGUGUUUCAAGAGGAAAUUGUAGGUGAAUGUGUGAGUCACGUUUAGUGAAAUUGAAGAGAAUGGGAAUGGAAAGUGGGAACAAAAGGGAGGCAAGAGGUUGGGCAAGGUGAGAUAAGGACAGUUUCCACCAAUGAGGUGAGUGUGAUGUGUAAUGAACAAGAUAGGAUAGUAAGAGAUUUGGGGUUUAACGGUGUUUUCCUAUUGUGUUCCUUCACUCUGCUUCAUUAAUUGUGUCAUUUGUUUUCUGUGGUUCUUGUCCAACAAAGAUAAAUUCUUUUCAUAA
This 1572-nucleotide long non-coding RNA is filed under the name Medicago truncatula (barrel medic). RNAcentral's name for it is "lncRNA gene48541". The record is from RNAcentral. Lineage: Eukaryota; Viridiplantae; Streptophyta; Magnoliopsida; Fabales; Fabaceae.